This 179-nucleotide non-coding RNA is filed under the name Blautia sp. Lineage: Bacteria; Bacillati; Bacillota; Clostridia; Lachnospirales; Lachnospiraceae. The record is from RNAcentral. RNAcentral also lists the same sequence under 1 other name.
CACAUAUGCCAGAGGAAAAGUUCCAGAGAUGGAUUAAAUGGGAAUUCGGUGAGAAUCCGAAACGAUCCCGUCACUGUGAUUGUGAGCAGACCGUAUGAUGUCACUGAGGUUCAGGCCUUGGGAAGGCACGGCGAGCGUUGAGCAUAAGUCAGGAGACCUGCUUAUCCUUUUACCUUGAG